AAAAUUAGGUAGGCGGAGUAGACAGAGGAGAAUGCUGGGAAAAAGAAGCUGAGUGAGUGAGUCGCCAUGAUGCUCCCACUCCAGACAGACGCAGGUUAAGAUCCUCUCUGAUUUUUCUCUCCUUAAUCCUUGCUGCGCUGUGUCCCAGUAGACUGAUAUCUUAAUGAAUGGUUUGUGAGCCUCAACUGAAAGACACGGCUAAGAGAUGACAGAUGACUAACUGCCUGGAGCUCCCAUCUCUGUGGCUUUCCAAGUUGAUGGACCUAUAUGUACUUCAAACUGUGAAAAAAAAAAACUUUAAAAAUCUAUCUUUUCUUAAAUUGCUUUUUCAGGAUAUUAAAGCAGAUGCUAUGGCAGGGAACACUUAGAGUAAGAAAGGGCAGUGGGAAGGACCUCAGGAUGCUAUUCAGUAACCCAGUGACCCUAUGCUGGUCUGAUGUGCCAUCAAACGUGCCGUUGCUGUGCUGACACUUGCCUUAGCCUGUUUGCCCGAGCUCGUGUUUAACUGAAAGUCAUGGUCUCACCACUAGUGAACAGCAAGGUUGAGGUACAGUGCACUCUGAUUCUAAGGAUGUCAAUGCUUCCAUACUUGGGAGGACUUGAGAGAUAUUUAAACAUACAUUUGCUUAGAAAGUAGGUAUGUGGAGUGUGUAUUCUUUAAAGGAAAAGCAAGACAGGGAGGAGAUCAUGCUUUGACAGUCUCGUUCUUUCUUAGGACUUUAUGGUUUUUCUCUCUCUGAUAUUCAGCUCCUGACCUCAAACUUUUCCUCUUUUGACUUCCCUGUGGGCCACAGGAGAUAAAUAGUUUCUGUGUACUCUCAGCUCUUUUCAAUGUCCUAAAUCCAGGACAAGACUAUGCAAACACCAUCCUAAAAAAAUGUUAAAAUCUUCAACCACAAAAUGUAAGCUUAUUCUCUGUGAAUUUCUAGUAGGUUUCUAAGGAGAUAACAGAAAGCUACCUAGAUUCCACUCAUAGGCUCUUCUGAGUAUGACUGUCCCCUGGGUGUCCCCUAUAGUGAGCUGCUCUAACGUAGUAGUCACUCGUAAAGCUCACAGCUCACAACGAAGAGAGACCUCCCUUUUCAAAGGCUGACAGUUGGAGUGUGUUCUCCGCCUCCAUCAGACCACUCUAAAGACAAAGGGAAUUUGGUAGAAACCGGGACCUCAGUUUUCAAGGAUCAAAAGAACGAUGUGUAGUGUCCCUGAUCUGGCUGAGACUGGGUAUAAGUGAAGUGUGGCCAUCAGAGGAGGGCACAUACUGAAAAAAACAGUGGAGCCAAGUCACGUACACAGGAGAAACGGGGACAUUCGUUUAGUCAAAAUGUACUAAGCUUGGUUUGGUGGCACAAGAUUUUAAUCCCAGCUCUUAAGAGGCAGGGGCAGCUGUUGUGGGUUAUUUGUACUCUGUAUGAAGAUAUAUUACUAUGAUUUGUGUAAUAAAAAGCUGAAUGGGCCAAUAGAUAGGCAGAAGAUAUAGGCGGGACUUCUGGGCAAGAGGAAGUGGGAGGAAGAAAGGUUGAGCCCCAGCCAGACGCAGAGGAAGCAGGACGUGCAGGAGGAAAGGUCACAGUCUCGAGUCACAUGGCAGGAUGUAGAUUAGUAGAAAGGGGUUAAUUUAAGUUACAAGAACUAGUUAGGAACAAGCCUAAGCUAUAAACCAAGCUUUUAUAAUGAUAAGAAGUAUCCAUGUCACUAUUUGGAGCUGGCUGGUGGGACAAAGGUAGACUCAUUACGGCAGACGUUUUUCUGUAAAUUCAAGCCAAGUCCAUUUUACCUAAUGAAUUACAGGACAACCAGGGCUAUAUAGUUCAACCCUACUCCCAAACAAAUGUCCUGAGAUCCCAGUACCUGGUUGAGGUACUCAUCUAUAUCUGUAUCAUCUGUAUUUAUAUCACAUACAUUUUUAUCUAGACCCAUCUGUCUAACAUCUAUUAUCUUUUUCUCCUGUUUUUCUUUUUUCUUUGCCUUCCUUUCCUUCUUUCUUUCUUAGUAACUAAAACAUUGCCCAGGAGAGGUUCACAAUCUAGUUAUAGAAAGGGACAAUGUAUAUACUAAAUACUAUAAAUUAUGCAUUCUAAGGAAAUCCAUGCAAAACAAGCAAGCGUACUGUAAAGCAAUGACUAGGAGUGGGGUAAUGCAAAAUGCAGUUAAAAAUCAGAUGAUCAUGAUGGCUUUUUGGAUAAAAUGAGGUAUGAACAAAGACUCAAGGAAAUCAAGAGAUUGAUUGGCGUGUGAUAUUGAAGGAAAGUGUAUACUAGGUAGCAUUAAGGUAUUAAAGCGAGCCUGUCUAAUGGGUUUGAAAACUUGCAGCAAAGCUGGACUGACUGAAGCUGUGUGACAGAAAGGAAGAAGAGCAAGAAAGAAGGGGCUGAAAAGGAGCAAGCGGCUUGUCAAAUUGGGCACUGUAGGCUACAGUUCUCACUUUGAACUCAGAGGAAAGCACUGAGCCUUUGUAAAGCAAUGAACAGAUAUAUUACCAUAUAUCUAUCCAUAUAUCUAUCUCCUGUUAUGUUUGGAGAAGACCACAGUACAGCAAGAGAAGAAGCGAGGUGUCCUUUAAAUGCUAAAGCCACCAUCAAAGCAAGAAAGACAGUGGCUUGCAAUGAAGAAUCAGCUAUGGAGAGGAUGAGGAUCUGACUCUGGGUAUAUUCUGCAAGUAGGAACCCCAAGCAUAUGGAAGGUUUGGAUAUGAGAUGGACUAGGAAGAAUGGGGAACGUGCUCUAUGCUAGCCAGAGGAAGUAGUGUUGGAAGUGGUUUGGAAAAGCUGGCGUCAUCUCUCUCCCUGUCCCCUUCUUUCCUUCCUUUCCUCACCUACUCUCCCUCUCCCCCUCCCUUUUGGUAGUCUUCCCUCUAUCUGUUUCCUCGUUUACUUCUUUCUUUUCCCCCAGACAUUCUUGUAAAUGUCAGACAUUAUUCCUGGAGAUAACACAAACAGAAAGCAACCCCUCCGCAUGUAGAACAUAAAUGACAAAUGGAGGAGAGAUGUAGACUUGAUGGGGAGAAACUUGCCAGAUUACUACCACCUUAAAAAUUUUAGACUUUUAUAUUAGCUGUUUGGAAUAAGAAACAUUUUAAUUGUAACUCUGAAAAUGGAACAAUAUUUAUAUAUUGAUCAUACUUCAAUAGCCCAGUUAAAACCAGCUUUAGCGUUCCAUUGGUAAACUGUUUAUUCUCCUCACCAUAUUAUACAGAACAAUCCAGAACAAUCCCAGAUGAAUAAAACACUGACUCUUGUGUUCCAGACGAAGUAGGUCUUUGUUUCUUUAUCUACUAGACAACAUAGAUACUGAUGGACUCAGCAGACCACACAACUUAUUGGUUUUCUCUAGAAAAUGUGAAGUCAAGUGGUACCCAGGUAGAAAAGGUAUUCUCAGGUACAAAUAAAAGCAGACUUGCAUUACUUAGUGAGGUUAGUGUUUAAAACUUUAGGGGUUGCUUCUUACUACGUGUGUGAAUCUUGGCUAGUCAUUCGACCACUCUGUCUGUGUCUCAGUUUCCACAACUUUUAAGGAAAAAAAAAAAACAUUUUCUGUCUUACAUCAGUAGUAAGGAUUAUGCAAGAUCUCAAAGUCCUUUGGAUGCUGUCACUAUGGCAAGCCCUCAGUUGUUGCUGUACCUUCAUAAACUGGAACUGUCUUCUCCAUUCCUGCAGUGACUUGAAUAAAAAUGGUCCCCAUAGGCUCAGAGGGAGCGACACUCUUAGGAGGUCUGACUUUGUUGGAGUAGGGGGUGGCCUUGUUGGAGGAAAUGUGCCACUGGGGGGUGUGGGCUUUAAGGUUUCAACUGCUGAAGCCAGGCCCAGUAUCUCUCUCUCUUCUGCCACCUGCUGAUUCCAGGUGCAGAACUCUGGGUUCCUUCUGUAGCACUGUCUACCUGAUUACCAUCAUGAUGACAAUAGACUAAACUUCUGAAACUGUAAGUCAGCCCCAGUUAAAUCCUUUUCUUUAUAAGAGUGGCUGUGGCCAUGGUGUCUCUUCACAGCACCAGCAAGCCUGACUAAGACAGCUCCCCAGAGCGUAUUUGCAUAUUGGAGAUUGCACACCACCCCCAUACCACCUCUUUCAUCAGCUAUUUGUUCAAGGAGAGAGCAGAGAGGGAAAGCAGAUAGUAACAAUGACACAAAUGUUCAACACAAACGGCUAAGUCAGGUAAGUCAUUAAGCAACAGACUUGGAAGAAAUGUCUUUUGCAAUAAAAAUGCUCAUAAAGCAAAAUCUAUAUGAAUACAGACAUUUGGAAGACUUGGAGCCGCAUGUUUUUUUUUUGUGUGUGAUUUUGUGUGAAUCAUCACCAAAAUAUGAGCAAACAUUUGUCUGGGCUAUGAUGCGCAUUUUCUUUAGGGGGCGAACGUUCGGAUUUCAUUCACUUCAUUCCUCAUGCACAUCUGUUGUCCAAGAGUAAAGUGGCACUAGUGGAGCUGAGGACUUAAUUUCUGAGACUUAGGCUGCAUACUUCUUUUUUAAUAAUUAAGGCAUAUAUAAUAUACUAUUGUUGAUCAACCAAGUGAUAUACGUACUGAGGAAAGAUGGAUGGGCUAGCCUGAGCUUACCCGCCAAGGCUGACUGCUUUCCACAGAACCUACACUUUGCUGAACAAUUUUGCCGGAGUCAUUUAUGAUUGCAUAAAUAAUUAGUAAUGGUUUUAAAAUGGCUUUGCAAAAAUUUUGAUUCCAUGUAGACUUCCAAUAGACUAAUUUCCACAAUAUUCUGACAUAUUAUUUCUUAUUUCUGAGAAUUGGUGCUCAUGGCAUAGCUCUGACUAAUAAAUAUAUAGUCAAAGCAUGGGUAAGAAUAUAGGAAAUAAUUGGAAAUUUUCUCCAGACAUGUCAGCAACAUGUUUUCAGCAUCUGCUGUACUGAGCUAUACUGUAAUGUACAAUACAAGUUCACUUUUUUUUUAAAUGAACCUUUAAAGCAUUUUUAAAAUGAAGACUUUAUGGCAUCACAAUGAGGGAUGACAUUUAGAAAGUUUAGGCCCUAACAUUUACAUGUAAUGGUGCGUGCUGUUUAUAUCGUAUGAUCAGGUUACAAACUGCCACAUAUAUUGGAUGACCAGGUUGCAAGCUGGCUUUUGUGUUGGUUUGUUGUUGUUGUUGUCAUUUGUUUGUUUGUUUUGCCUUCUGGAUGACUUACCAAACUUACUCAGCUCAGACCUUCACAGGCAGGUUUUGUAAAGGAGCGUCUGCCCGGAAUGUGUGCAAACAUGUUCCCCGAGCGUCCACAUACAUGGAUCAUGGCAUCUUCUCUUUUCCACCCUGGUGCUUCCAAAGGGCAGCAGCAUCACGUCACUGCAAUAAGACCUGGGCUGUGAGCGCUGAAAAGGCCUUCUGAGUUUAGGAGUCAGUGAGAAGAAUUUCUGCCUGUGCUCUGGGGUUGCACCUCCCAGAGCAGCAGGAGGACAGAUCUGCAGCCAGCUAAAGGAGAGAAGAUGGCUGGAGAGCGGGGCUUGCAGGAGGAACAGUGAGGUGCUUGUGUACGUGGUAUGUGUGUAUGUGUGUGUGUCUGUCUGUCUAACCAAAAAGUGGAAGUAAAAAAAAAAAAAAGGAGAGAAAAGGGUUUAAUAUGCUGUGCAGAGGCAGAGCAGAUCCAAGAUUUAUCUUUUAAACAAAAAUUUAAAAGAUCAAUUUCCACCAGACGGGAAGUUGCAGGCACCUGGUUUUAAACCAUUAGCAACAGCUGGUUAAUGCCAAUACAGCUAUUAUCGUCGAUAAUGGUGACGCUAAUACCUAGAAACCCUGGUUUACAGUAAAAACACAGGGCUUCUUUGUGCUGACUCCUCUGAACUAAUGUCUUUAUUUUUUGUUAUUUAUUUAUUUAUUUAUUUAUUUAUUUAUUUAUUUAAUUUUUUAGCCAUUAUUGCUUCUUUGUUUCCUGGUGCCUUUAUCCCAUACUCCAGGCUACAGUUUCCUCACACAGAAGUUACAACAUUCCAACCCUGUUGCUGAGUUGAAUUAUCUUCACUAAUAAAAGGCAGAUUUUUUUUCUCCAGUUCUUCUCUUCUGGAGUCUCAUUGCUAUUAAUUGGUCAACUUACUAUCAGAUACGUUUUCUUUGAAAAAGAAAAGACAUACCUGCUGAAAUAUGGCUGUGUUCGCCUGGAUUUGAGACAUCUUAGUGUGCCUGGCCACAGCUUUCACACCCUGAGUCAGUUCCGACUCUCUUCACCCACUUGGACCGUCUGCUACUAGACUGUCGUGCAUGGCGAACAUGUACAUGAUUUAGCAUUUUAUUUCACGUUUAGGGCCAUGGCUUCUAUUUGUCUCUUCUAAAGCUUUAUUUUGAUGUCCUAAUUCAAGCGCUUUGUGACUAAACUGCCUAGCACUUACAGAUCUCUUCCUCUUACCCCAAUUCUUAUUGUGAUGCAAAUAAUUCAGGGCCUCGAAAAAGAACUCAGCUCUUAGUGUCUUUAAAAACCACACCAACCAACCAACCAACAAAAAGCCAACCAACCAACCAAACAAACAACAACAACAAAAAAAACCACCCACUACUUGAUAUUUUUACCCAUGAUGGAUUUUAGUUGUUUUCAUACCCCUCUCCCCUUUUCUACCCCCUUCCUUCUAGAACCUUCCUGAUAACCCUCCCAUUCCCCACUCUCCUGUCUUCUCCUUUUCUCUGUAACCUGCUGUGUAUAGGCAGAAUUUCUUCCUUGAGCAUGGCUGGAAGGUUAUUUACUGGAAUGAGAGCUACUUACCAGUGGCUACACUGCUCAAGAAAAGGAUGCUCCCUUUCCUGACAUGGUAGCCCCCAGCAGUCCUUCAGUGAGUGAGUGUCCCUAAUGGUCCCACCCCAAGCCACAGGGGAAUGAUGACAGAGUCAAUCUUAGGCACACUGGCAGGCAUGGAGCAGGUAAAUACAGCUGCACCUACUCCAUCAGUGCAAUGGCUCUGAUAUCUGUCACUGAGAGUCAGAGAAUUGCUGAGGCAGUGGUACACCAGAACUCGAUCUUGUCAAAGAUUAAACUUUCUAGAAUUCUCUAAAAAACAAAACAAACCUGUUAGGCCAAAGUGUGAUAUCAGCCAGGCAUGGGGAGAAUAUUUACACCAUGACAAUAAACCCACAUUGCAGACCAGGGUUUUUGGUUUUGUCUGGGGCCAAGGGAAGGGAGUAGAAGGAAAAAAUAGCUUGCUGGCACACUACACAAUCAACUUUCUAAUCGCACUAUUUGUACACGUUUUCGUGUCCCUACUAUAUAGCUCCCCAGCAUAAACCAAAAUGCUCCCAAGACUGAGUGAUCCUUUUAAGAAAUGGAAUUCCAGCACUGACAUGUAUCCACACGUACAGGUUAACUUGCGAGUCUCCAACAGCACACCGUCUCUCUUUACAUCUUCAACUGCUCCUAGUGCGCAGCCCGGGGUGCCGUAGAAGGUAUGUAUAUUCUCCUAGUUCUCUCUCCUUUUGUUGUUCAGGCUCCACAGGGCCCUUUAACUUCGUGACUAACAUGCUGAACUUCAGGGUUGUUCCUCAAACAUCUCGUGUAUAUCUUAUCUUUGCAACUCACUAGAGGCCUCCAUUCUGCCUUGUGUGGCCCGAGCUGCCAGAAGUACUUUCCACAGCAGCGAGGCCCUUGCGGCCUUAGUAACCCUCCUUUAUCCACUUUUAAACUGUGGGUUAGUUUAUCUGCCUCUGCAUCAUACAGCAAGAUGCUUACGUUUUAAUUUCUCCCCUUCAGUCCAGCUUCCAGAUUUUCAAUUUCCAAAAGCUGCUCCAUGUUUUCUUUGGUGCUGUCAUUAACAGUAUACUUAAUUCUUAAAGCUCAAUCGGGAGGGGCAUUCUCAAAAGCGUGUGUCUAUUUACCCUGGGCCUGGGCCCUGGACUGGGUCUUCACCUCUACGUCACAUACAUACAGUCUUCUGUCUUUGACAAGGAACAGUAGUGAAGCUGAGUCUAAAAUCACCUCUGCUGCGUUGCCUGUUGCAUUUUUAUCAGCCAAUCCGUCUUUGAUAUUUACUCUCUGUCCAUUCAGGUUUAUUUUAAAAAAAGAAACUCUUUGCAAGCAACCUUUAUUUCUUCCUUAUAAUGUACUGUGUGUAUACAUCGCCUGGCUUCUUCCUUCCAUCCUCUUUUUCUAUUCUACUUCUCGUCACUAAAAUAUUGAUUCAAAUAGGCACAGCUUUUCCAGUCAGCUGCCGAGUUUCCUGCUUUGCGCAUGGGCGUUCACAGUGAACCAAGGGUUUGAUCAUCACCUCUAUGUUCUCUACUCCAGCCCGUGUGCUUUCUAAUAACACUGCCUAUACAGGAAAAGUGCGUGCUGUUGCACAUCCCAGAGGUCCACCGGAAGGGACGCACAAUGGAAGCAACCCACAGCCCCGCAAUUCCAGACCGAAGACCUGGGUCCACAGUCUUGACUUUAGUGCUCAUAACAAGCAGUGACCUCCUCAGAUGAGUAAUUUGAAUCACCCAGGCAUCAGCGUUCUCAUCUGUAUAGUAUAAGAAAACAGCGUUGUCUUUCUACCCCUUCCCAGUAGUUCCCUACUUUCUGUCUUAGUUGGGGUUUCUGUUGCUGGGAUGAAGCAUGCCAGGAUCAAAGAGCAACUUGGGGAGGAUAGGGUUGUUUUUGUUGUUGUUGUUUUUGCUUUGCUUUUGGUUUAUGCCUCCAUAUCACUGUUUAUCAUUGAAGGAAGUCAGGACAGGAACUCAAACAGGAAAGGUACCUGGAGGCCUAGAGGCAGGAACUGAUCCAGAGGCCCUGGAGGGGUAGGGCUUACUGGCCUGCUCCUCAUGGCUUGCCCUUUCUGCUUUCUUUUAGAACCCAGGACCAACAGCCCGGGGAUGGCAUCACCCACAAUGAACCUAUCCAUCAACCAUUGAUUAAGAAAAUGCUCUACGGGCUUGCUUGCCUAUAACCUGAUCUCAUGGAGGCAUUUUCUCAAUUGAGGCCCUCUCCUCUGAGGACUCUGGCUUGGGUCAAGUUGACAUACAACUAGCCAGUACAAGUCCUGAGCCUAUGAAUGUUCUGCCUUAGAAGCCAGAGAAGGCAUAGAGGAGCCAUGUAAACUUCAUGUAGGAGAAACAACUUUCUGACUGCAAACUCAGCUUCUGGGUCUGCCUCCAAAGUAUGUUCCUCACGUAGCACACGUGACAACUUGCUAAUUUUUCCUACUUCCUCACAUACUAAUAGAGAGGUCAAAGUGGGGACUCUCCUUCUUGCAUUUUGGUAAAGCUUUUCUACUUGGCUCUACAAGAUUUUUGCCUAAGGUGCGAUAAACGAAGGAGCUUCAGAUAUCUUACUGCAGAAUUCAAAUGCUGAAGCAAGGCCUGGACUACAGGCAUGCGUAACCAAAGCCAUGGUGCUUUUAGUGCUACCAGCGUUGGGUUACAGCAGUUCUGGGAGGCUGAGCUGUUUUGUUUCCAUGGCUUAUUAAGCCAAACUAAGACUGAUGUCAAUAAUCAAAUUCACCACCUGUAUCCUUGUGUCUUCCCCUAAAAGUAAAAACAAACCUUAGAAAAAGAAAGAUGAAAAUGAGUCUCAAAAACCCUAAGUCCAUAAGGCUAUUUCUGGCCACAAAGGAAAUUAACACACCUGAAAAAGGAUUGUUUAUUACUAUUUAUUAUUAUUGCUAUUACUAUUAUUAUUAAGAAUUUAUUUCCUAAAGGAUCUCCAGCCAUGGCUUCCUCUGUCAGUUGACUUCCUAGCUUGUUUGCUAAUUCCCAGCCCUCAACUGUUGCACUAGCCUUUCCUGUCGCAAAUUACGGUUUGGGGCGUUUGAACCGAUCCUAAACACAUCCAGACCGACCAGAACAGGAUCCAUUCAGUGUGGUCCCCCGGUGUCUCAGGCAAGAAGGCAGCAAGGUCGAAAAGAAGAGAGAAGGGCUUCCACCGCCUUUUCCCUAGAGGAGACUGUCGGGUUGGGGGCUAACUGAGCAUCCUAGACAGGGACAGGUGGGGCAGGAUGCAAGGGCGCCAGACACAACUCUCAGGAACGACCCAGAAAGGGAGGUCAGGAAGCUCGCCCAGCAGCUUUCAUCAAGAAAUGAGGUAGAAAACAGUCCGAAGGGGAUGGCAGAGCAGUUAACACAGUGCCUUCUAUCGCUGUAGAGGUAAAGGAGUACUGUCGAAAAGCUCUUCUCUGCCACCCCGCUUCACUGCGGUGAUAUACAAACACAGACGUUCACACGCUCUGGAUCCAGAUCUGGGAUCUUCAGAGGCACAUGCUCAAACAGGGGCUCCCAGCCUUCCUACUGCUGCGACCCUUUCAUCCAGUUCCUCAUGCUGUGCUGACUCCCAGUCAAAGAAUCAUUUUCCUUGCUACUUUGUAACUGUAAUUUUGCUAUUGUUACAAAUUGCAAAGUAAAUAUCUGUUUUUCCAUGAUCCUAGGCAACCCCUUGUGAAAAGGUCACCGGACCCCCCAAAGAGUCACAGGCCACUGGUUGAGAACUGGUCUAUGACUCUGUCAGAGACUGAAAACUUCAGGAGUAUUUUUUUUCAAAGGGAAGAAGCAGGAAGGAAAACAGAAAAGUGGAAGAGGAGAAAGAAUGAGAAAGGGGCAAAGGGAGGAAGAGAUGGAAAGAUCCCAUUAUGAAGUAAACUUAUUGGUGGAUUUUUAAACUGACAAAGCAAAAUGAAAAACCAAAAUCAAGCAAAAUAAACCAAACGCUCCACGUUACAGAUAAACAAUAUUCUCUCAAGAUACAGCCCAAACCCCACAUGGGUACUUAGCUGCCUUUCCACUGUUACAGGAAGGCAGGUUAGAGGCACACUUCACACGCUGCACUAAACAUCCCUUCUUUAUCUCACUUAGGAGGUGCAUCUUAAUUUGAAGAGAGAAAGGAGGGAGGCGUGGGUUCCACCUAUAGCACAACUUAUGUUUUGGAAAGAAAUGCCGUUUACUGCGUCUUCCUUUUUCAAAAGGAAAUUGUUCUUCGGAUAAAGAGCGGGCAGCCUUCC
Molecule: long non-coding RNA, 10886 nt
Organism: Alexandromys fortis (reed vole)
Lineage: Eukaryota; Metazoa; Chordata; Mammalia; Rodentia; Cricetidae
Exons: 3
Source: RefSeq, a predicted model, not a curated record